AGUAAUUUUCCCUCACCUCCCUAUUCUUGGAGAUGACACUUGGCAACGUCUAGAGGAAUAUCCAUACUGAGAAUAUGACCACAACUAUCAGGAUCUCAACACCUGGAAUGAAAAUUGGACUGACCAACUCAUCAUCUUUCCUCUUCUUCUAUCCACUAAAGCUUUAUUAACUCCAAAGCAGUAAGGCUCAACAGUGUUCCACUCGCAGGACCCCUUCUAUUAUAUAAGAGCUUUGCCUUCUUUCUCUCCCCUAAGCUUCUUAUAAUAAAACUUCUUUUUCUAAAACUCA
Onychomys torridus (southern grasshopper mouse) is the source of this 289-nucleotide long non-coding RNA. RefSeq lists it as uncharacterized. The transcript is spliced from 2 exons. NCBI's taxonomy places the organism in Eukaryota, Metazoa, Chordata, Mammalia, Rodentia, Cricetidae. The record is from RefSeq and is a predicted model, not a curated record.